This 350-nucleotide ribosomal RNA is filed under the name Henschoutedenia sp. FL-2014. RNAcentral describes it as "partial 12S ribosomal RNA". Lineage: Eukaryota; Metazoa; Arthropoda; Insecta; Blattodea; Blaberidae. The record is from RNAcentral.
UAUAGAUAUAAAAUGGUUUAACUUGAGUAGUAUUUGUUAUGGCCUUGAAACUUAAAGAAUUUGGCGGUAUUUUAGUCUAUUUAGAGGAAUCUGUCCCGUAAUCGAUAAUCCACGUUGAACCUUACUUAAAAUAUUAGCAUGUAUAUCUCCGUUGUUGAAAAUCUUUUUAGAGUAAUUUCUUAAAUUUUAAUUAGUAAAUAUUUCAGGUCAAGGUGCAGCUUAUGAUUAAGUGGUGAUGGAUUACAUUAUUAUUUAAAUAAAUGGAUAUUUAUUAGUAUUAAAUAAAUUGAAGGUGGAUUUAAUAGUAAAUUUUUGUAGAUUAUUAAGUUGAUUGAAGCUCUAAAAUGUGU